This is a long non-coding RNA of Oncorhynchus tshawytscha (Chinook salmon), 400 nucleotides long. The record is from Ensembl. NCBI's taxonomy places the organism in Eukaryota, Metazoa, Chordata, Actinopteri, Salmoniformes, Salmonidae.
AUCAGACUACAUCUGCUCUAUUAGGUACAGACGGCUGACUUCCACACAUCAGACUACAUCUGCUCUAUUAGGUACAGACAGGUGACUUCUACACAUCAGACUACAUCUGCUCUAUUAGAUACAGACAGCUGACUUCCACACAUCAGACUACAUCUGCUCUAUUAGGUACAGACAGCUGACUUCCACACAUCAGACUACAUCUGCUCUAUUAGGUACAGACGGCUGACUUCCACACCUCAGACUACAUCUGCUCUAAUAGGUACAGACGGCUGACUUCCACACCUCAGACUACAUCUGCUCUAAUAGGUACAGACGGCUGACUUCUACACAUCAGACUACAUCUGCUCUAUUAGGUACAGACAGCUGACUUCCACACAUCAGACUACAUCUGCUCUAAUAG